CCUACGGGAGACAGCAGUAGGGAAUUUUCGUCAAUGGGCGCAAGCCUGAACGAGCGAUGCCGCGUGAGUGAAGAAGGCCUUCGGGUCGUAAAGCUCUGUUGCGGGGGAAAAAAGGCAGCAUCAGGAAAUGGGUGCUGACUGAUGGUGCCCCGCCAGAAAGUCACGGCUAACUACGUGCCAGCAGCCGCGGUAAUACGUAGGUGGCGAGCGUUAUCCGGAAGGAUUGGGCGUAAAGGGUGCGCAGGCGGUCCUGCAAGUCUGGAGUGAAACGCAUGAGCUCAACUCAUGCAUGGCUUUGGAAACUGGAGGACUGGAGAGCAGGAGAGGGCGGUGGAACUCCAUGUGUAGCGGUAAAAUGCGUAGAUAUAUGGAAGAACACCAGUGGCGAAGGCGGCCGCCUGGCCUGUUGCUGACGCUGAGGCACGAAAGCGUGGGGAGCAAAUAGGAUUAGAUACCCCAGUAGUC
This 465-nucleotide ribosomal RNA is filed under the name uncultured bacterium. RNAcentral describes it as "partial 16S ribosomal RNA". It matches the Rfam family "Bacterial small subunit ribosomal RNA", at positions 338 to 795 of the family's 1533-position model. The record is from RNAcentral.